UGGGGAAUAUUGGGCAAUGGGGGAAACCCUGACCCAGCAACGCCGCGUGAAGGGAUGAAGUAUUUCGGUAUGUAAACUUCGAAAGAAUAGGAAGAAUAAAUGACGGUACUAUUUAUAAGGUCCGGCUAACUACGUGCCAGCAGCCGCGGUAAUACGUAGGGACCAAGCGUUGUUCGGAUUUACUGGGCGUAAAGGGCGCGUAGGCGGCAUGACAAGUCACUUGUGAAAUCUCUGGGCUUAACCCAGAACGGCCAAGUGAUACUGUCGCGCUAGAGUGCAGAAGGGGCAAUCGGAAUUCUUGGUGUAGCGGUGAAAUGCGUAGAUAUCAAGAGGAACACCUGAGGUGAAGACGGGUUGCUGGGCUGACACUGACGCUGAGGCGCGAAAGCCAGGGGAGCAAACGGGAUUAGAUACCCCUGUAGUCCCUGAGCGGGCUGGCAAGGCGCAU
This 448-nucleotide ribosomal RNA is filed under the name uncultured bacterium. Its description in RNAcentral is "bacterial SSU rRNA". It matches the Rfam family "Bacterial small subunit ribosomal RNA", at positions 355 to 825 of the family's 1533-position model. The record is from RNAcentral.